UUAGGUUGGUGCAAAAGUAAUUGUGGUUUUUGCCAUUACUUGUAAUUGUAAAACCCACAAUUACUUUUGCACCAACUUAAUAAAA
This is a microRNA precursor of Cebus imitator (Panamanian white-faced capuchin), 85 nucleotides long. NCBI's taxonomy places the organism in Eukaryota, Metazoa, Chordata, Mammalia, Primates, Cebidae. The record is from Ensembl.